This 87-nucleotide transfer RNA is filed under the name Actinomadura darangshiensis. Its description in RNAcentral is "tRNA-Tyr". It matches the Rfam family "tRNA". Rfam says of the family: Transfer RNA (tRNA) molecules are approximately 80 nucleotides in length. The record is from RNAcentral. Lineage: Bacteria; Bacillati; Actinomycetota; Actinomycetes; Streptosporangiales; Thermomonosporaceae.
GGGGCGGCGCCGACGUCCGGAGAGUCGGGCCUGGCUGUAACCCAGGUGCCUCGCGCUGAGUGGGUUCGAAUCCCACCCGCCCCACCG